GAUGAACGCUGGCGGCGUGCUUAACACAUGCAAGUCGAACGAUGAAGCCCAGCUUGCUGGGUGGAUUAGUGGCGAACGGGUGAGUAACACGUGAGUAACCUGCCCUUAACUCUGGGAUAAGCCUGGGAAACUGGGUCUAAUACCGGAUAGGAGCGUCCACCGCAUGGUGGGUGUUGGAAAGAUUUAUCGGUUUUGGAUGGACUCGCGGCCUAUCAGCUUGUUGGUGAGGUAAUGGCUCACCAAGGCGACGACGGGUAGCCGGCCUGAGAGGGUGACCGGCCACACUGGGACUGAGACACGGCCCAGACUCCUACGGGAGGCAGCAGUGGGGAAUAUUGCACAAUGGGCGCAAGCCUGAUGCAGCGACGCCGCGUGAGGGAUGACGGCCUUCGGGUUGUAAACCUCUUUCAGUAGGGAAGAAGCGAAAGU
This 429-nucleotide ribosomal RNA is filed under the name Micrococcus luteus. Its description in RNAcentral is "bacterial SSU rRNA". It matches the Rfam family "Bacterial small subunit ribosomal RNA", at positions 28 to 457 of the family's 1533-position model. The record is from RNAcentral. Lineage: Bacteria; Bacillati; Actinomycetota; Actinomycetes; Micrococcales; Micrococcaceae.